UACAGAGGGUGCAAGCGUUAAUCGGAAUUACUGGGCGUAAAGCGUGCGUAGUCGGUUAUUUAAGUCGGAUGUGAAAUCCCCGGGCUCAACCUGGGAAUUGCAUUCGAUACUGGAUAGCUAGAGUUCGGCAGAGGGAAGUGGAAUUUCAGGUGUAGCGGUGAAAUGCGUAGAUAUCUGAAGGAACAUCAGUGGCGAAAGCGACUUCCUGGACCAGAACUGACGAUCAGGCACGAAAGCGUGGGGAGCAAACAGG
This 253-nucleotide ribosomal RNA is filed under the name uncultured bacterium. RNAcentral describes it as "partial 16S ribosomal RNA". It matches the Rfam family "Bacterial small subunit ribosomal RNA", at positions 524 to 776 of the family's 1533-position model. The record is from RNAcentral.